AUUGAACGCUGGCGGCAUGCUUUACACAUGCAAGUCGAGCGGCAGCGCGGGGGCAACCCUGGCGGCGAGCGGCGAACGGGUGAGUAAUGCAUCGGAACGUGUCCCGUAGUGGGGGAUAACCCGCCGAAAGCCGGGCUAAUACCGCAUAUGCUCUACGGAGGAAAGCGGGGGACCGCAAGGCCUCGCGCUAUGGGAGCGGCCGAUGUCCGAUUAGCUAGUUGGUGGGGUAAUGGCUUACCAAGGCGACGAUCGGUAGCUGGUCUGAGAGGAUGAUCAGCCACACUGGGACUGAGACACGGCCCAGACUCCUACGGGAGGCAGCAGUGGGGAAUUUUGGACAAUGGGGGCAACCCUGAUCCAGCCAUGCCGCGUGCGGGAAGAAGGCCU
RNAcentral lists this ribosomal RNA (387 nucleotides) under uncultured bacterium. Its description in RNAcentral is "bacterial SSU rRNA". It matches the Rfam family "Bacterial small subunit ribosomal RNA", at positions 28 to 417 of the family's 1533-position model. The record is from RNAcentral.